Molecule: ribosomal RNA, 119 nt
Filed under: Pogona vitticeps (central bearded dragon)
Lineage: Eukaryota; Metazoa; Chordata; Lepidosauria; Squamata; Agamidae
Source: RNAcentral
UUAUACAGUCUUACUAUCCAUAGCACACCUGACACUGUCUGAUUUCAGAAGUUAAGCAGGGUCAAGCCCAGUUAAUAGUUUGAUGGAAGACUGUCAGGGAACACCAGGGGUUUUCAGGU